AUAAAGAACUUGGGGUCCGCACGAACAAAAGUUUGCCACGACGAGCGUAAGAAUGUCGCCUGCGAUAUUUUCACUCAUUCUAAUGCUUGCGCUCACAGUCACGGCAGAAAAUGGCUCAACUGUGGACACUGGAAGUGGAACCCAACCAUGUGAACAAGUGCGUUGCAGUGGACCAGGUGAUAUGUGCGAACCACCAUGCCGAUGCUACCGACUCAACAAUGUCCAAUACAUGUGCUUGGCAUUCGAUUGAUGUUGCGAUAACAAGCAGCUAGCUCAAGAUGGCAUGACAUUUUUGCGCCGCAUUACUAAGGCAAUAAAAUGAUUACGAC
Rhipicephalus sanguineus (brown dog tick) is the source of this 329-nucleotide long non-coding RNA. RefSeq lists it as uncharacterized. Lineage: Eukaryota; Metazoa; Arthropoda; Arachnida; Ixodida; Ixodidae. The record is from RefSeq and is a predicted model, not a curated record. The transcript is spliced from 3 exons.